AUUGAACGCUGGCGGCAGGCUUAACACAUGCAAGUCGAGCGGGGAAGGGUAGCUUGCUACCUAACCUAGCGGCGGACGGGUGAGUAAUGCUUAGGAAUCUGCCAUUUAGUGGGGGACAACAUUCCGAAAGGAAUGCUAAUACCGCAUACGUCCUACGAGAGAAAGCAGGGGAUCUUCGGACCUUGCGCUAAAUGAUGAGCCUAAGUCGGAUUAGCUAGUUGGUGGGGUAAAGGCCUACCAAGGCGACGAUCUGUAGCGGGUCUGAGAGGAUGAUCCGCCACACUGGGACUGAGACACGGCCCAGACUCCUACGGGAGGCAGCAGUGGGGAAUAUUGGACAAUGGGCGGAAGCCUGAUCCAGCCAUGCCGCGUGUGUGAAGAAGGCCUUAUGGUUGUAAAGCACUUUAAGCGAGGAGGAGGCUACCUAGAUUAAUACUCUAGGAUAGUGGACGUUACUCGCAGAAUAAGCACCGGCUAACUCUGUGCCAGCCGCCGCAGUAA
Molecule: ribosomal RNA, 501 nt
Filed under: uncultured bacterium
Lineage: Bacteria
Description: partial 16S ribosomal RNA
Rfam family: Bacterial small subunit ribosomal RNA
Source: RNAcentral